Glycine soja is the source of this 641-nucleotide long non-coding RNA. RefSeq lists it as uncharacterized. The record is from RefSeq and is a predicted model, not a curated record. NCBI's taxonomy places the organism in Eukaryota, Viridiplantae, Streptophyta, Magnoliopsida, Fabales, Fabaceae. The transcript has 2 exons.
GAUCGUGUCCAAGUCACAAUUAGGGGUGUGGAAAAAAAAUUGUGUCAGACAGUAACGGAUUGCAGUUGACUCGACCCGAAUUAGUUGCACACUCGAAGUGGGUUUAAAAAAAAAUUGCCUCGUUUUGUAGCCGGUUUGAUUUGACCCAACCCGUUUCAGAAAAAAAAUAGUAGGGGCCUGAAUAUUCAGUGACUCGUUUCACCCCGCACUGUGCACUUUCUCUCGUUCACGACAGCUAUGGUUCCUGACUUCUUGUUCCUCGAUCGCCGAUCAGUUUCUUGGUGAAGCCUGAAGGGUUUCUUGGCGAAGGGAUCCUCAUUAUUCUUGGAGCUCUCUCUCGUUCUUACAGGUUUUGUAAGGAAAUACUCCAUUCAAUGAUUCUGUGACCCGAAUCAUGAAAUGAUGCAUAUUACUUUGUGUUCUAUAAUGACCUUAAUUUUUUUUAUUUUGGCAUUCUCAUAUGCAAUAGAAGUUUUUGUCAUGUGUCAUGGAUCUUUUUGAUAUAUGGUUCACUAUGCUGGAUCUUAAGAUGAAAACUUAAUUAAGAUGUAUUUUUCUUCUUUUUUUUGUGUAUUCUGAAUUGGUUUCAACUUGAUUAAGAUAUGUAUUUAUCACUCUAUUUUAUUGAAUGUUGAAAGACA